AAAUCGUCACGUUUGGUCUGGAUGAUCCUGCAUGGUCAUAGCUGUCCCUCAAAGUUGAUAAAAAUGUUAUUGGAGUUUUUGGCUGGGCUCUGUUUAGGCCUCACUGCCGUAAUUUAACAUCAGACCCUAUAAAACUGUAACAUCAGAGUUGUUUGUUGUAGGUUUGGUUGUAGCGUAGGCUACCACCAAAAUCAUUCAGUUCAGAUUACUUUUUUGAUAUCUACUUUAUCGCUAAAACAUACUUACUAUUUGUACGUGAGAUGAACCUCUUCCACCACAAUUCCGAAAACGUUGUCUUGGAAGACCUUGGUGGCCAGCAUAUCUCGCCAUUCCUUGUAAAGAAGCCAGGAUUCAGGACUCCCGUAUACCAACUGGCACCGGCCGCUUCGAAUGUCCUCCUGGUCGCCUUUGCCAAUUUGCAUGGCCUUCAGUCCAAAUUUUGUAGCCUCCUUUAACUUGUCCUCCAUAAGCGCUAUCAGUGGUGAGGGAACAAUCACAAGCGGGUUGUGGCAUAUGGCGAGUCCCAUGCGUUUUCCCACCAGCGGAGCUAGUUGGUAGAUCAAACUUUUGCUGUAUCUGGUCGGCAAAACAUCAAAUACAUCCUUCUUUUGUGAGAAUGACCUCAAUGCAGUUUCUUCUUCUUUUCUCGUCAUUAUGUUAAGCCCGCCCACUGACUCUAUACACAAUGUGAUUGGCCUGACGAGAGUUUUGUUUUGACAGCUCGCAUGCGUCUAGAUUUCUAGACUAGUGUAAGACCCUUGUGAAAGAAGGAUAUGCAGCUUUCAAGUGACAAAAAACGGCUAAUUCCCAAGUUUACAUUAACACUGUUGGACAUGAAAGGCCACCUGGAUUACAAACAAACAACGUGACUGCGAAAGUGACAACGAGCCCUCAACUGGGCAACUCCGUUAGCAAAAUCUAGCCUUAGUUUCUCACCUCUUAUUCCCACAUUAAGUGAAGUGAAGUGAAUGAUGAUGAUUUCACUAGGAAAAAAGUUUUUUCCCGUGCCCAUGAACGUUCCGUUAACCCCUACUGGUAACUUCUACCAGAGUCUGUUCUCUUUUUCUACUCUUUGGAUCAGUGCUAGUAGGCUAAUCAAAUAUCUACCAUCGUCCAUCGCAAAGAAUUAAGCUAAACUUAGUGGAGAGUGACUAUGUCUGAUAACGACUGCUGCCGAAUGUGUGAAACAAAUGUACACAUCCAAGGUAGAAUUAUCAAUUCAAAGCAAAUAUUCGACAGUAAGGACAAAGAUGGGAGUAUAUGGAGUCAACUGUCAAAAUUAGGUCUAGUUCUGCACAACAUGCUACUUCAGUCAGUCGUCGCAAAUGCUGCACUGUAAUUGUAAGGUUACAGCCAGCAUGGACAUUUUUCACAAUAAGAAGAAAAAAGAGACACUCAACACCUGGCCGGAGACAACACACCCUCCAAAACCCCAAGGAGCGUAAAAAAAGUCCAGGAGGCUGACAUACCAUCACAGAGUGUGAUUGAGGUUGAUGCUGAUUUGUUCAUGGAGUGUAUGGAGGAGGAAUUGGAACCAUGGCAGCAGAUACACAAGAACAAAGAGUUGUGAGAAGCAGAACUAAAGCAAGUUACUAGAAAGCCUGCAGUGGUGACUCGUGUCCUUGUCCCUGCCUCUGCCCCAGCCCCUGCUCCUGCUCCAGUGUCAUCCACUCACGUGGUGCUAUCAGGCCAGGCUUUAUCUGGCAACACAGGCAGCAGCAAAGACACGGCGGUGCCCCUGCUCACCAACACACCAUCUCUCCUCACCCCCAUGGCUUCAGUUCCGGUCACAGCUCUGCCUUCUGGUUUUCUGCUGGUUGUAAACCAGUUGUGAAUACCAAUACUUCCUGUUACCUCAAAAUGAUGAAGGAAGAAAGCAGCGAAGUGCAGUAUCCCAUUGUGCUUACUCUUCAGACUAUGAUGGAUGCUUCAUUUAAAGAAAAACAGUGCUUUACUUUUCCAUGAUGGGGGCGUAUCCUUUCUCUAACCAGUCCUUGGACUUUCCUGGCCAGGAUCACUGCAGUGAGAGGCCAGGUUGGAGCUGAAGUUGUUGACGGCAACAGCAAGUGUGGACAGGUCGGAUAAACAUCUGAUGCAUAAUGUUAAGCAUCAUGAGAAAGAAGCAGGCCACGCAAUGGACAUCAGUCACAACAGUGCCAUUUGAAGACGGGGAAGUAGAUCUCUGUUGGAAAACAGGCUGUUGACACUUCUGAAAUUCAGAUGUCAAAAAAAUAAAAAGGGAUCUCUGAAAAAAAGUUUGGAUGAGUAAGAUUUUCAAUAAAAGAUAUUUAAUUUCUUAA
Long non-coding RNA from Alosa sapidissima (American shad), 2300 nucleotides. RefSeq lists it as uncharacterized. The record is from RefSeq and is a predicted model, not a curated record. The transcript has 4 exons. NCBI's taxonomy places the organism in Eukaryota, Metazoa, Chordata, Actinopteri, Clupeiformes, Clupeidae.